Molecule: ribosomal RNA, 613 nt
Filed under: Paramecium quadecaurelia
Lineage: Eukaryota; Ciliophora; Oligohymenophorea; Peniculida; Parameciidae
Also listed under: 1 other name
Description: eukaryotic LSU rRNA
Rfam family: Eukaryotic large subunit ribosomal RNA
Source: RNAcentral
ACCUGAAAUCAAGCAAGAUCACCCGCUGAACUUAAGCAUAUCAGUAAGCGGAGGAAAAGAAACUAACAAGGAUUGCCUUAGUAGUGGCGAAUGAACCGGCAAUAGCUCAAAGUGUAAAUCUGAGGCAUCAAGUCUUAGAAUUGUAAUCUAUAGGCCUUUUAGGGAAGCCAUGGUUCUAGCAUAAGUUCCCUGAAAAGGGAUGCCAAAGAGGGUAAAAGCCCCGUAUUUGGUUAGGACUGGGUGUACCGAAGGGUUCCAAGAGUCGGGUUGUUUGGGAUUGCAGCCUAAAAUGGGAGAUAAACUUCUUCUAAAGCUAAAUAUUUAUGGGAAACCGAUAGCAAACAAGUACUACGAAGGAAAGAUGAAAAGAACUUUGAAAAGAGGGUUAAAAGACUUGAAAUCGUUGAGGAGAAAAGCGGUAGAAGAGAAAUGAUUUCAUUUAGAAGUAUGUGGUUUUGUAGGUGUCUUCUGCGGUAAUGGUACUUCAUAGGGCCUAGCUGUAGACCGGCAUCGCAUUGCUGCUUUUUCUGGAUGAAGUGCAAAAUGAGGUCUCGCUUGCGGAAACGUCUCUAGGGAGGACUCUGGCCUUGACGCUGGAAGCCCUGGUCUCCAA